GAAACCUCUCAACCACCUUCAAGGUGGCUUGGAAAUGGGGGAUCGUUGCAGGCUUUUUUGAAGUCUGCUCCCCUGAAAUGCAUUAGUGGUGUCUGGGCUGACUGCCACAGGUGUGAUAACUAUCAGUGCCUUGGUGGGAGACCUUGCCGCUUCCAAUCCUCUGAUGACCA
This 170-nucleotide unclassified non-coding RNA is filed under the name uncultured Inocybe. RNAcentral's name for it is "sequence contains ITS2". The record is from RNAcentral. Lineage: Eukaryota; Fungi; Basidiomycota; Agaricomycetes; Agaricales; Cortinariaceae.